RNAcentral lists this ribosomal RNA (468 nucleotides) under uncultured bacterium. RNAcentral's name for it is "partial 16S ribosomal RNA". It matches the Rfam family "Bacterial small subunit ribosomal RNA", at positions 28 to 507 of the family's 1533-position model. The record is from RNAcentral.
GACGAACGCUGGCGGCGUGCCUAACACAUGCAAGUCGAACGGAAAGGCCCGGCUUUUGCGGGGUGCACGAGUGCGGAACGGGGGAGUAACACGCGUGUAACAUGCCCUUGACAUUGGGAGAAAACUAGGAAAAUCGGGCGAAUAUCGGAUAGGAGCUCUUGAUGCACGGGGGGGGAUGGAAAGUUUCGGCGGUUGGGGAUGGACUCGCGGCUUAUCAGCUGGUUGGGGGGGUAGUGGCGUACAACGGUUUUGAGGGGUAGCCGGCCUGGGAGGGUGAACGGCCACAUUAGGCCUACGAUACGGCCCAGACUCCUACGUGCGGCAGCGGUGGAAAGUCUUGCACAAUGGGCGGGCGUCUGUGACAGCGACGCCGCGUGCGUGAUACCGGCCUUCUGGUUGUGAACCGAUUUCGCCUGUGACAAGCCGUGAUUGACGGUAAUGGGUCAAGAAGCACCGGCUAACUACGUG